This is a long non-coding RNA of Syzygium oleosum, 716 nucleotides long. RefSeq lists it as uncharacterized. Lineage: Eukaryota; Viridiplantae; Streptophyta; Magnoliopsida; Myrtales; Myrtaceae. The record is from RefSeq and is a predicted model, not a curated record. The transcript has 2 exons.
UGGAACGAAGUGUAAUGUGACCUAGAGUUUUAAAGUCCGCAAUGUGUUAAUGAUAACCUGACCUUUUGCUUAGAUUGAUGCGAACUCAUUCGGCAUCGUCAUGUGGAAGCUGCUGACAGGAGAAAAACCGUAUGCAGAUUUGGAUGUUAACCACAUGAUAGGGGGCAUCUUGAACAACACACUGCGGCCGCAAGUACCAGCAUCUUGUAAUCCAGAAUGGAAAUCGCUGAUGGAGAGGUGCUGGUCAUCCGAGCCAUCAGAAAGACCAAGCUUCGCCGAAAUUGCAAGGGAGUUAUGUUCUAUUGCUUUGAAGAGCUCUUCAAAGAUCUAUAAUCGCAGAUAGGAGUUGUACAUGAUCCCUCAAGCACAAAUAUGCCAGACAAGUUGCCGAUUGCAGUUGAAUCCUGAAGAUUGGUGCUCUGUGUGUAAAGUAGAUUUUGAUAUUAUCGGUUGUACCACUGUUUUUUUCAGGUUUUCCAUUUCAUAGACGUGCUUGGCAAGGCUUGCAAAGCUCCAAGAUAGCCAUCAUCUUCCUGCUUGGCAGCUAUAGCUUUUUCCCUCUGGUGAUUAGUUCGGUAGGUUGCUUAAAUUUAUCGCCAGAUACAGAUUUCAUCGGUACUCUUUAGGAGCUCGUGUUGUACCGACACGAAGUGUCUUUGUUUUCUGUAUCUCAAUUCAAUGACGAUUAUAACAUGUGCACCUAUGGAUAUAAUUUG